This 330-nucleotide ribosomal RNA is filed under the name Triticum aestivum (bread wheat). Its description in RNAcentral is "partial small subunit ribosomal RNA". The record is from RNAcentral. Lineage: Eukaryota; Viridiplantae; Streptophyta; Magnoliopsida; Poales; Poaceae.
AUGAUAUAUGCUACACACAUCCCCAAAAGGGAGCGCAAGCGCGCACUCAGGGACGUCUAUGCGGUAGAGCCAGUCACCCCAAAAUUCAACCCAUGGUCGUCAUUCCCGAUCACCUUUGAUCGUCGAGAUCAUCCAACUAGUAUCCGUGAUGGCGGUUCGGCCGCAUUGGUACUCGACCCAAUCAUCGGCGGAUUUCACAUGACACGAGUCCUAAUGGACGGUGGCAGCAGCCUCAACCUGCUCUAUCAGGAUACAGUACGCAAAAUGGGCAUUAAUCCCUCACGAAUCAAGCCCACGAUAACUACUUUAAAGGAGUCAUACCAGGCAUAG